GACGAACGCUGGCGGCGUGCUUAACACAUGCAAGUCGAACGGAAAGGCCCUGCUUUUGUGGGGUGCUCGAGUGGCGAACGGGUGAGUAACACGUGAGUAACCUGCCCUUGACUUUGGGAUAACUUCAGGAAACUGGGGCUAAUACCGGAUAGGAGCUCCUGCUGCAUGUUGGGGGUUGGAAAGUUUCGGCGGUUGGGGAUGGACUCGCGGCUUAUCAGCUUGUUGGUGGGGUAGUGGCUUACCAAGGCUUUGACGGGUAGCCGGCCUGAGAGGGUGACCGGCCACAUUGGGAAUGAGAUACGGCCCAGACUCCUACGGGAGGCAGCAGUGGGGAAUAUUGCACAAUGGGCGGAAGCCUGAUGCAGCAACGCCGCGUGCGGGAUGACGGCCUUCGGGUUGUAAACCGCUUUCGCCUGUGACGAAGCGUGAGUGACGGUAAUGGGUAAAGAAGCACCGGCUAACUACGUG
This 468-nucleotide ribosomal RNA is filed under the name uncultured bacterium. Its description in RNAcentral is "partial 16S ribosomal RNA". It matches the Rfam family "Bacterial small subunit ribosomal RNA", at positions 28 to 507 of the family's 1533-position model. The record is from RNAcentral.